Molecule: ribosomal RNA, 497 nt
Filed under: uncultured bacterium
Lineage: Bacteria
Description: partial 16S ribosomal RNA
Rfam family: Bacterial small subunit ribosomal RNA
Source: RNAcentral
GAUGAACGCUGGCGGCGUGCCUAAUACAUGCAAGUCGAGCGAACGGACGAGAAGCUUUCUUCUCUGAUGUUAGCGGCUGACGGGUGAGUAACACGUGGAUCACCUACCUAUAAUACUGGGAUAAUUUCGGGAAACCGGAUCUAAUACCGGAUAAUAUUUUGAACCGCAUGGUUCAAAAGUGAUAGACGGUCUUGCUGUCACUUAUAGAUGGAUCCGCGCUGGAUUAGCUAGUUGGUAAGGUAACGGCCUACCAAGGCAACGAUGCAUAGCCGACCUGAGAGGAUGAUCGGCCACACUGGAACUGAGACACGGUCCAGACUCCUACGGGAGGCAGCAGUAGGGAAUCUUGCGCAAUGGGCGAAAGCCUGACGGAGCCACGCCGCGUGAGUGAUGAAGGUCUUCGGAUCGUAAAACUCUGUUAUUAGGGAAGAACAUAUGUGUAAGUAACUGUGCACAUCUUGACGGUACCUAAUCAGAAAGCCACGGCUAACUACGUG